AAUCAACGCUGGCGGCGUGCCUAACACAUGCAAGUCGAACGCGAAAGGGGGCUUCGGCUCCUAAGUAGAGUGGCGUCCGGGUGAGUAACACGUAGGUAAUCUGCCUUCGGGUGGGGAAUAACCAGUCGAAAGAUUGGCUAAUACCGCAUAAUGCAGCGGCACCUAUAAGGUGAUUAGUUGUUAAAGCGGGGGAUCGUAAGACCUCGCGCCUGAAGAGGAGCCUGCGGCAGAUUAGCUAGUUGGUGAGGUAAUGGCUCACCAAGGCUUCGAUCUGUAGCUGGUCUGAGAGGACGGCCAGCCACACUGGCACUGACACACGGGCCAGACUCCGUACGGGAGGCAGCAGUGGGGAAUUUUGGGCAAGUGGGCGAAAGCCUGACCCAGCAACGCCGCGUGAGGG
Molecule: ribosomal RNA, 400 nt
Filed under: uncultured bacterium
Lineage: Bacteria
Description: bacterial SSU rRNA
Rfam family: Bacterial small subunit ribosomal RNA
Source: RNAcentral